UACAGAGGGUGCAAGCGUUAAUCGGAAUUACUGGGCGUAAAGCGUGCGUAGUCGGCUUUUCAAGUCGGGUGUGAAAGCCCCGGGCUCAACCUGGGAAUUGCAUUCGAUACUGGAUGGCUAGAGUUCGGCAGAGGGAAGCGGAAUUUCCGGUGUAGCGGUGAAAUGCGUAGAUAUCGGAAGGAACAUCAGUGGCGAAAGCGGCUUCCUGGACCAGAACUGACGAUCAGGCACGAAAGCGUGGGGAGCAAACAGG
This 253-nucleotide ribosomal RNA is filed under the name uncultured bacterium. RNAcentral describes it as "partial 16S ribosomal RNA". It matches the Rfam family "Bacterial small subunit ribosomal RNA", at positions 524 to 776 of the family's 1533-position model. The record is from RNAcentral.